UUAGGUUUUCUCGAAGUGUUCAAACGAAAAAGCAACAAUCUAUUGCAUUGAAUAUUCAUCUCAUAUAUGGUGAUGGUAUUCCAAAGAUCUACACACCGAUGGUAUUUUUCAAUCAGUUAGUGCGGACUGUUAUCUAUGAAGUAAUCAUGACACACGAUGUACACUAUAUAAAUAUAACUUUGAAAAACUAUAUGCAAGUAUUAUACUAGUCAAAUUUAAAGGGAAUUAGAAUACUAAGACACCUAUGAGGUAAAAUACAACUUCAGCGAUAAAGAAAGGAUUAUCACAUUACAAUUGUGAAGCUAUAAAAAAGUAGUUUAAUAACGAAGUUCAUAAAACAAAAAAAUUAGUAAGUUAUCUGCUAAAAUUCUAUUAAAUUAUUGUUUCUAUAGGCUGGAUUUUAAAAUCAACUAAGACUCGACAAGACUAAUCUUACACAGGUUGGUGAAACAACUGAAUAAGAAGAAGGUAUACAAAAAGUGUACGCAACUUGAUUUAAUCGGAAUUCCCAAUGGAUUUUCAAAAAGUAAUCAAAAUCUAGAAAAAGAUUGACGCAGUUCGAAAACAUAAUAAUACUAUAAUACAAAAUUCUAUAAUUCAAUGAGCAAUCAAGAACUAGUUUUUAUUUGAAGAAAGUUUUAUAAUCAUUAUUUUUUAAAUAACUGCGCACUUACGGAAAAACUAAAAAUACGAAGAACACCAAACUUUUUAUAAAAUCAGCGAAUGAUUAAACAACAUUUAAAGAAGUACUACAAAUAUUUCAUUUAGAUCCUAUAAUAGAAUUUACAAAAUAUAUAUUUGUAGGGUGAUCCUUAUUUGACCAACUUUAAAAAAUCGAAUGAGAGAACGUCAUAUUUUGUUCUA
This is a long non-coding RNA of Daktulosphaira vitifoliae (grape phylloxera), 864 nucleotides long. RefSeq lists it as uncharacterized. NCBI's taxonomy places the organism in Eukaryota, Metazoa, Arthropoda, Insecta, Hemiptera, Phylloxeridae. The record is from RefSeq and is a predicted model, not a curated record. The transcript is spliced from 3 exons.